RNAcentral lists this ribosomal RNA (624 nucleotides) under uncultured bacterium. RNAcentral describes it as "bacterial SSU rRNA". It matches the Rfam family "Bacterial small subunit ribosomal RNA", at positions 833 to 1457 of the family's 1533-position model. The record is from RNAcentral.
CCGGGGCUUAGUGCCGGAGCUAACGCAAUAAGCACUCCGCCUGGGGAGUACGACCGCAAGGUUGAAACUCAAAGGAAUUGACGGGGGCCCGCACAAGCGGUGGAGCAUGUGGUUUAACUCGAAGCAACGCGAAGAACCUUACCAGGUCUUGACAUCCCGAUGCUAUUCUUAGAGAUAGGAAGUUACUUCGGUACAUCGGAGACAGGUGGUGCAUGGUUGUCGUCAGCUCGUGUCGUGAGAUGUUGGGUUAAGUCCCGCAACGAGCGCAACACUUAUUGUUAGUUGCCAUCAUUAAGUUGGGCACUCUAGCGAGACUGCCGGUAAUAAACCGGAGGAAGGUGGGGAUGACGUCAAAUCAUCAUGCCCCUUAUGACCUGGGCUACACACGUGCUACAAUGGUCGGUACAACGAGUUGCGAGCCGGUGACGGCAAGCUAAUCUCUGAAAGCCGAUCUCAGUUCGGAUUGGAGGCUGCAACUCGCCUCCAUGAAGUCGGAAUCGCUAGUAAUCGCGGAUCAGCACGCCGCGGUGAAUACGUUCCCGGGCCUUGUACACACCGCCCGUCACACCACGAGAGUUUGUAACACCCGAAGUCGGUGAGGUAACCUUUUAGGGGCCAGCCGCC